GGGCAUUUGGUCUAGUGGUAUGAUUCUUGCUUCGGGAGCAAGAGGUCCCGAGUUCCAUUCUCAGAAUUCCCC
Molecule: transfer RNA, 72 nt
Filed under: Spinacia oleracea (spinach)
Lineage: Eukaryota; Viridiplantae; Streptophyta; Magnoliopsida; Caryophyllales; Amaranthaceae
Rfam family: tRNA
About the family: Transfer RNA (tRNA) molecules are approximately 80 nucleotides in length. Their secondary structure includes four short double-helical elements and three loops (D, anti-codon, and T loops). Further hydrogen bonds mediate the characteristic L-shaped molecular structure. tRNAs have two regions of fundamental functional importance: the anti-codon, which is responsible for specific mRNA codon recognition, and the 3' end, to which the tRNAs corresponding amino acid is attached (by aminoacyl-tRNA synthetases). tRNAs cope with the degeneracy of the genetic code in two manners: having more than one tRNA (with a specific anti-codon) for a particular amino acid; and 'wobble' base-pairing, i.e. permitting non-standard base-pairing at the 3rd anti-codon position.
Source: Rfam by way of RNAcentral